UACGUAGGGGGCAAGCGUUGUCCGGAAUCAUUGGGCGUAAAGCGCGUGUAGGCGGCCAGAUAAGUCCGCUGUGAAAUCUCGAGGCUCAACUUCGAGCUGUCGGUGGAAACUGUCUGGCUAGAGUCCGGAAGAGGAGAAUGGAAUUCCUGGUGUAGCGGUGAAAUGCGCAGAUAUCAGGAGGAACACCGGUGGCGAAGGCGGAUCUCUGGGCCAUUACUGACGCUGAGGAGCGAAAGCGUGGGGAGCGAACAGG
RNAcentral lists this ribosomal RNA (253 nucleotides) under uncultured bacterium. RNAcentral describes it as "partial 16S ribosomal RNA". It matches the Rfam family "Bacterial small subunit ribosomal RNA", at positions 524 to 776 of the family's 1533-position model. The record is from RNAcentral.